GAGAUCCUCCACCACUUUCGGGAAUCCGAUCUGCAUUUAUUUGGAUCGGAAUUGCCCAAAUCUGCAGAUUCCGAGUCCAAUUCUCGUCAGGGUCACAUCGGAUUGAGUUCGCUCUUGAUUCGUCGACGGGCGUCGCUCCUCUUCUCGGGUGUAAACGAGGGUUCGCGAGAGUUAACCGCACGACGGGGACGGGGAUAGCUGAAGCAACCGUUCUCCUCCUCCAGCCGUGCUAUUCGAGCAGCUCCCUGUCGUCAUGCCUAGGAUCGAACUCCUCGUAUAAUGCCUUCACGCGAUUCGAUUCGCGUGAUCUAGAUGGGAGUAGAUGGAGAGAGUUUUGAUGAUGGUGGAAAAAGUUCUGCAGGACUCGACGGAGGCGACAGUAUCGGUGGAGGUUCUGUGAUGUGGUCUUGGGAAAGGUGGAUGCAAGCAAUUCUUCUACAGAUCACAAGCAGUUGAUACCAACCAACUUCAAAUUGGGAAGCUCAAAGAUUUCCGGAUCAAUCUAUUGAAUGAUUAAAAACUCUAAUUGGAAACACAUGGUGCCUUGUUUUCCGCCCUCAACUUGGAACCAAGUAGUCAUCUCAAACUUGGAGCAUGGUCCAUAUGUGUACCAUAUUUGAAGAACAAACUAUGUUCUAAACAGAUGAUUGAUUUCUCUUACAGUGUUGAACUUUGUGCUGCCUUGAAGUUGAUAGAAAUCUCAAGUCGUCCUCCCGCGGUCUCCACAGUUGGCAAAAGCUGCUAUCAAAGCUCUUUUUCAUAUUAGCUCCUCUCCAAGUCAUACUUUUCCACUUCUUUUGCCAUGACAUGAGCAGCUUCUCCUUUCCUAUUCAUGGAAGGAAAUUUUGGGACUGUUACUGGAUGAUAAAUAAGAAUUAUUUAUCCUUUAA
Molecule: long non-coding RNA, 890 nt
Organism: Musa acuminata subsp. malaccensis (wild Malaysian banana)
Lineage: Eukaryota; Viridiplantae; Streptophyta; Magnoliopsida; Zingiberales; Musaceae
Source: RefSeq, a predicted model, not a curated record